Molecule: ribosomal RNA, 396 nt
Filed under: uncultured bacterium
Lineage: Bacteria
Description: partial 16S ribosomal RNA
Rfam family: Bacterial small subunit ribosomal RNA
Source: RNAcentral
AUACGUAGGUGGCGAGCGUUAUCCGGCUUUACUGGGUGUAAAGGGCGCGUAGGCGGGGAAGCAAGUCAGAUGUGAAAUCCAUGGGCUCAACUCAUGAACUGCAUUUGAAACUGUUUCUCUUGAGUGCCGGAGAGGGAGACGGAAUUCCUAGUGUAGCGGUGAAAUGCGUAGAUAUUAGGAGGAACACCAGUGGCGAAGGCGGUCUACUGGACGGUAACUGACGCUGAGGCGCGAAAGCGUGGGGAGCAAACAGGAUUAGAUACCCUGGUAGUCCACGCUGUAAACGAUGAAUACUAGGUGUGGGGGGACUGACCCCCUCCGUGCCGCAGUUAACACAAUAAGUAUUCCACCUGGGGAGUACGGCCGCAAGGCUGAAACUCAAAUGAAUUGACGGGG